This 336-nucleotide ribosomal RNA is filed under the name Ammonia inflata. Its description in RNAcentral is "SSU rRNA". It matches the Rfam family "Eukaryotic small subunit ribosomal RNA", at positions 1160 to 1343 of the family's 1831-position model. Lineage: Eukaryota; Foraminifera; Rotaliida; Rotaliidae. The record is from RNAcentral.
AAGGGCACCACAAGAACGCGUGGAGCAUGUGGCUUAAUUUGACUCAACGCGGGAAAUCUUACCGGGUCCGGACACACUGAGGAUUGACAGAUAUACGCUGCGUUGCUGCACCUUCGGGUGUGCACGUGGCUCAAAGAUGCUAGUUCUUUCAUGAUUAUGUGAUAGGUGGUGCAUGGCCGUUCUUAGUUCGUGGAGUGAUCUGUCUGCUUAAUUGCGUAUCAAUAAUAGAGACCUAGUAUACGCGUAUUACUCAUGUGGUAGUGACCCCCUUCUCAUGGAGGCGCGGGUCGCACAUACCGUAUACGCACUGGUCUCAGAUAGCAACGAACGUGACCG